Molecule: long non-coding RNA, 618 nt
Organism: Eucalyptus grandis
Lineage: Eukaryota; Viridiplantae; Streptophyta; Magnoliopsida; Myrtales; Myrtaceae
Exons: 2
Source: RefSeq, a predicted model, not a curated record
GGACAAGGGGGACGGGCUUGACUCUGUUGAAAUGGAGUGUUCAGCUUGGUUUUGAGUGCGGUGGUCGUGCGGCGGUCGUGCGGCAGUCGUACGGCGGCGUUCGAUAGUCCAUGAGGUAGUCGUCGGCGUGGCGAUUUCACACAGCGAUUAUGAAGCCAAUAAGGUAAUGUUGUCAAGGCUUUUAAUUGAUAUUCAAAAUGCCGUUCGUCCCCCACGGUAUAGGGCGGAAACAAAUUACCACAAGUAUAAGGUGUUGGCCAUCACGGCAAUGGCCUUUUCAUUUGCGACUGCUCUCAUCGUUCUCGCCCUCGCCCUAUUCUAUUGUUGGUGUAGGCGGAGGCAGCGUAGUGGAGUUCCAUUGGCGGCACCAUUGGUGGCGGCGGCGGCACCACCAGCGGUAGUGACUGGGGCGCCACAUGGGGCACGUGCUGGUUGAUGAGGUGGUGAGGCACGCCCCAGUUGCAGUACUUCAAUUCUUAGAAGUAUCUUUCACUUUUUUUUUUUUUUUUUUAUUGUGCAUUAGCACAAAUGUGUGUCGGAUUUAUGUCUGUUUGGUGUGGGAUUGAUGACUGUUCAAUAUGGGAUUUAUCUAUAUUACUUGUGUGCUUUGCCUAUUCA